UACGUAUGGUGCAAGCGUUAUCCGGAUUUACUGGGCGUAAAGGGAGCGCAGGCGGCGCGCCAAGUCUGAUGUGAAACCCCGGGGCUCAACCUCAAGCCGGGUCCCGAACUGGCAGCCUCGAGUGCGGUAGGGGUAAGCGGAAUUCCCGGUGUAGCGGUGGAAUGCGCAGAUAUCGGGAAGAACACCGAUGGCGAAGGCAGCUUACUGGGCCGACACUGACGCUGAGGCGCGAAAGCUAGGGGAGCGAACAGG
Molecule: ribosomal RNA, 252 nt
Filed under: uncultured bacterium
Lineage: Bacteria
Description: partial 16S ribosomal RNA
Rfam family: Bacterial small subunit ribosomal RNA
Source: RNAcentral